This 291-nucleotide long non-coding RNA is filed under the name Panthera leo (lion). RNAcentral describes it as "lncRNA (ENSPLOG00000016092.1)". The record is from RNAcentral. Lineage: Eukaryota; Metazoa; Chordata; Mammalia; Carnivora; Felidae.
GACCCUCGGCCCGCCUCUCUGAACAGAUGGGGAAACUGCGGAGGACUGGAAAUACGCCCUUGGGGCAGGCUUCCUCUGCCACCCGGGUGCCCGGGACGUUUCCUGGUCCCAGCUCUUGCACAGUCAAGAAGUAAUCUAGCAAGAAAUAUCAGCCCUGGGAGCCAAGGGAGGGAGAAUCACUGUCUCCAACUCCUACCCAGGAACGCACCAUUAAAAUCUCAACUAUAGGAACCCUUUAUCCCACGAGAGGGUUAAGUCCAGGCCAGAGGCAUGAACAAGGUGUCUAUUCUG